This 430-nucleotide unclassified non-coding RNA is filed under the name soil metagenome. Its description in RNAcentral is "partial contains 5.8S ribosomal RNA, internal transcribed spacer 2, and large subunit ribosomal RNA". The stretch from base 1 to 120 matches the Rfam family "5.8S ribosomal RNA", at positions 35 to 154 of the family's 154-position model. The record is from RNAcentral.
GAUGAAGAACGUAGCGAAAUGCGAUACGUAAUGUGAAUUGCAGAAUUCAGUGAAUCAUCGAAUCUUUGAACGCAUAUUGCGCUCUCUGGUAUUCCGGAGAGCAUGCUUGUUUGAGUAUCAGUAAACACCUCAACUCUUUUUUCUUUUUUGAAAUUGGAGCUGGACUUGAGUGAUCCCAACGCUUUCUUCCAAGAAAGUGGCGGGUUGCUUGAAAUGCAGGUGCAGCUGAACUUGUCUCUGAGCUAUAAGCAUAUCUAUUUAGUCUGCCUAAAAAACAGAUUAUUACCUUUGCUGCAGCUAACAUAAAGGAGACUAGUUCUUGUGCUGACUGAUGCAGGAUUCACAGAGACAGCUUCGGCUGACUUUGUAAACUCGAUCUCAAAACAAGUAAGACUACCCGCUGAACUUAAGCAUAUCAAUAAGCGGAGGA